UGAAAAGCUGGGAAUAACCACUUAGAAGACACAAACUCCAGAAAAAUGGGUUCAGUCCUCCAAAAUUAAAAGUUACCUUCCUGCUUAUAUUGGCAGAAAACAAAGAAGCUUGAUAGGAUUAUAGCAUUUUCUAUACAGGGCUUGUUGGUGAUUUACAACAAUUUAAUUCAUUACAGUUUGUUUUCUUUUCCACAGGGCUUGUUUUCAUUUUCUUUCCAAUUUAAAAGAAUGUAUUCAACAUUCCAUCUUUAGAAAAUGUGAUAACCAUCAAGUCUUUGCAUGAGAAAGGUAAGAGGGAAGUUAAUCUAUAAUGAAGAUCAACUGUGAAGAGGGAUGGGGUCUUCCCUGCCUCCCUUUAGUCAUUUACAACAUUUAAAAAAACAAUGCAGGUAAGGAAGAAGUCUAAUCUAUAAUGAGAGAAACAACAGUUACACCUGCCCAGGUUACAGAUGCCUCUCACAUGACUCAGGCACUAUAGUCAUAUUUCUUUAAAACUCAAAAUAGUUUGGAGUCCCCACAGCCUAGAUUUUAUUUUCACAUCUGCAAGUCAUUGAGAACUACUCCUGUCUCCUUGUCCCUCCCUAUACCAUUUCCUCCCCCUUCUCUGAGUUCUUUUUCCCAGUCUCCUUUGCUGGGCACCUCACAACCCCCACUCAUCCUUACAUGCUGAAGUCAUCCAGGAUUUGCUUCCAGAUUCCUUGCUUCUAUUUCUGAACCCACCUGUUCCUUUUAACCAUUUGCCUGGUUUAAUUCCCAUUGCCUUUCCCCUUGAAUGUAAAAAUUGAAGUAUGACUUACUUGCCUUAAAGUGCACACUUCUUAAAUAUAUAUGUGAUGAAUUUUUACUUAUAUGUACACCUAUGUAGCUGCCAGUUAAACCAAGGUUAGAGAAUUUCCAGCUUCCAGAAAUGCUCCUGCAUGACCAUCUCAGCCAGUACCCCACAACGAAGCCUCGAGUCUGACCUCCACCAUCAUAGGUAGACUUGCUGGCUUGGAAACCUGACAUCUGUGCUUUGAAGUCUAGGAGGAUGAAAAAGUCUUGAAGCCAGGACAAGAUGGCCCGCAAAGGGAUCAGGUUUUAUUCUGACCAAAAUAAAGACUUUUUAAAGACUUUUGAAGCCUUGUUUAUGCUAUCAGGGCUCCAAUUUAAAAGAUGUCACUGUCAGUAGAUGUCUUCUGAUUUUGAGAAGCACAUGUGAUGAGUUCUGGGUCACUCACCUUCCCACGGUGUCCUCGGUGUUCCUAGCCUCAUUGUUGCUCUCAGCCAGCCUCAACCAAAACCACUUCCUCUGGAAGCCUGUCCCUUCCCCCACUCCCAUUUGCGAGUCUUCCCAGAUGCCCUUUUCUAGUGCUUCAACCACGGUCCCCCACCUGCCUCUCCCUCUACCUGCUCCCUUAACAGCUCCACCUUGCCCCUCCUCUUAAGGGUGAGGAGUAGCUACAGGUAGAGAAAUACUUAACGUCAUGCUUUUAUUUUUGGACUCCCCAGUAGACCUGAGUGCUUUAUUCAAGGAGGACAUCAGCAUUGAUUUUCCCUCUCAGCAAAGUGCUUUAAAGGUGAAAGUGCCUUUUCACAGAGCUGGGGCCACCUUGCAUCAUAGCCUUGGAGCCAUUUCUGUGUGGCAGAGAGAAGGCUACCCACUCCUUCCCCACUUCCCGUCUCCAUUGACAGCCUUCUCUUUGAAGCUGAUGUGUGCCUCUGACUUUCUGCAACCCUGAACUUUCAGCAUUGUGUUUUUCGGCUAGCCAUUCUACAGCUUGAUCAUCUGAAUGCAGAUAUGCAUAGAGGUUCUGCUCGUGACCAUGUGACCCACCUUUGUAUCCUGCAAGAACAAUGGGAUUGGUGUGGAGGAUGAGAGCUGGAGCUCUGGAGUCAAUAUGCCUAGAGGGAAUUGUGGAUUACUAUCAUGUAAUCUUCAGCAAGCUAAUUAAUGGCUCUGUGCCUUAGUUUCCUCCUCUGCAAAAUGAAGGUAGUAACGGAAGCUACUCAUGGGAUCAUUAAAAGAAUUCUAUGAGACAGUACUUAUUAUAAAUUUAAAGUGGUUUGUGACAUAUAGUAAAUGGUCAAAAAAUGUUAGCUAGUAGUCAAAAUAGAAGUAGGGUGAGAUUUAAUUACAUUUAUAAAAAUCACUCAAGCCUGCAAAUGCCCAGUGCACCUGAGGGAGUGACAGAAUCAUCAUUGUCCAAAUCUAGUUCCUACUUGUCCCAAGCAAGAAAAUGUCAGGGCAAACAGCUCCGUCCUUUCUUCCUCCAUCUGUGAGGUAGCAAUGUGAAUGCCUCUCUUCCUUUUUCUCUAGGUACCCAUAGUAGGAGAGACAAUGUAUUCUACACCAGGACUUCUAAAAUGUUCAUGUGCGUAGAACUCACUUGGAAAUCUU
This 2377-nucleotide long non-coding RNA is filed under the name Homo sapiens (human). Its description in RNAcentral is "HSALNT0047845". The record is from RNAcentral. Lineage: Eukaryota; Metazoa; Chordata; Mammalia; Primates; Hominidae.